Molecule: ribosomal RNA, 253 nt
Filed under: uncultured bacterium
Lineage: Bacteria
Description: partial 16S ribosomal RNA
Rfam family: Bacterial small subunit ribosomal RNA
Source: RNAcentral
UACGUAGGUGGCAAGCGUUGUCCGGAUUUACUGGGUGUAAAGGGCGUGCAGCCGGGAGUGCAAGUCAGAUGUGAAAUCCCGCGGCUCAACCGCGGAACUGCAUUCGAAACUGUGCUUCUUGAGUGCUGGAGAGGCAGACGGAAUUCCUAGUGUAGCGGUGAAAUGCGUAGAUAUUAGGAGGAACACCAGUGGCGAAGGCGGUCUGCUGGACAGUAACUGACGGUGAGGCGCGAAAGCGUGGGGAGCAAACAGG